Molecule: long non-coding RNA, 1172 nt
Organism: Aquila chrysaetos chrysaetos
Lineage: Eukaryota; Metazoa; Chordata; Aves; Accipitriformes; Accipitridae
Exons: 3
Source: RefSeq, a predicted model, not a curated record
AAGAGGACUGACAAAAGGGAGAGAGAGCACGAUCUUCCCCUUUCACCACCAGCGAGCUGGCAGAAACCACAUCCUCAGGUUCACCAGACAAGAGCAGAAUUAAGGUAGAAACACUGACAACUUCUCCAGAACGACACCAAGGCUCUAUUAGAGGAAAGAAAAAGCCCCGGUCCUUUACAAGGGCUAUUAAAAAAUCAUGAGUUAAGUAGUUUCCAUACCAGAAUGUGACGUCUCCAAAGAAAGCUGAAAAGCACAGCUUGGAAUGAUGUUACUAAUUCUGUAGCUGUCUGAUUAGACAUGUAACCGGUGUCCCGGAAAGAUACUUUAUCCCAGCAUUUUGCUGGAGCUUUCCUUCCUCCUCCCAGUGAGACAGAAGGAGAAAACCCAACCGUCUGCAGUCCUUAAAGAUCCCAUGGCACUUUUCAUGGCGUGUCUAAAUGCUGGUGAUGGUCUAUCCUGUCCAAAUUCUGCAUUGGAUAAAUCUCUCGGUGAUCUCAAGUGAGAGAAGCUGUUGCAACCACAUGCUGCCUUGUCUGCGCCUGUAGUCACAGUGGAACUCUGGUUCUCUUGUUUCUCCUCCUGAGGCUCACUCUCGUAAGCUGAGUCUCAGACAGACCUGUGCAGAUUCUGGGAGUCUCUCUUUUGGGUUGGUGUCUGAAAGAGCUGCUGCUGAAAUGGAGUAACAUUGGGAAGCUACAUGAGACUACCGUUUCCUUGCGAAUACAAAGAAAUCCCAGGCCCCAACAGCACGUUAAGGUUAAAUACACAUCUCCAUCGUAACUCAUGAGGAUUUGAAAAUCAAUUGUGUGUUUGCUGGGGUAAACAGCACACCUGAUGUAGUGGGGAAUCUGGCAGCAUUGAGUUUAAAAAGGAGUCGGAAGGGAGGAACAGCACAGGAGUUUCAGACAGGGCUCGACAGCCUUUUGUCUGUGUCUUGUCUGACUAAAACCAGACUGUAGCCUCUAACCCAUCUACCCUGCUGAGCCAGCCAGCCAGCUGGAAAGCAAGCCCGGCAUGAGAGGCUUUCAUGAGCAACCAGAAGGCAGGCCUCCCGUCCAGCCUGACUGACUUAGGCAGGAACGACCCACCUCACAAGCAACACAACCUCCCGAGGGCCCUGUCAACGGCUGUAACCGCCCUGCCAGGCAGGCAAAGGAGCGCCAAGCUCCGUG